Molecule: non-coding RNA, 599 nt
Organism: Microcebus murinus (gray mouse lemur)
Lineage: Eukaryota; Metazoa; Chordata; Mammalia; Primates; Cheirogaleidae
Source: RefSeq, a predicted model, not a curated record
UCCCAUGAAGAAGGUAAACAGGGAAGCUCGUAAAAGUGGGACUGGAAUCACCAUGGGAACGUUUGGUGCCAAUCAAGGAGAGUCGCACUGAGCAACUCCGGAGGUGGCUGGUGCAACAACAGAGCAGGAAGCAGCAUCCCGGGCCUCUGUGGCAACACCAAAAGAAACAACAGUACUACACACCAGGUUCAAGAAUAAGCACAUCAUUGAACACUGUACCAUCAAAAAGAAUGUCUUGCCAGCUGAGUAGAAGUUUAAUACAAAUGGAAACUCAGGUUUCAGUAUCUCAAGGAUUGGUGGAUAAUGAAUAAAUGGUAUCUCAACAAAUUCUUAGCCUUCAACUAGAGAGGUAUGUGAGACAGUGGGGAAUUUUUUUCCAAUUAUCUAUCUAUCGAGAAGAUGAAACAUCUUUAUCACCAAGAAGUGAAUGAUACCAACUUUGGGAGCAAACUAUAUUCAGAAAAAAUAUUUUAUACCCAUUAAACUCUAAUACCCAAGUGAAUUCAGAACUUGCACACAUACUGUGCAUCACUAUCUCAGGCAAUGGGUAACAUCAGACAAAGACAUUCUCACCAUAUAAAAUAAAUUCAAUAGCAUAA